Molecule: ribosomal RNA, 360 nt
Filed under: uncultured bacterium
Lineage: Bacteria
Description: bacterial SSU rRNA
Rfam family: Bacterial small subunit ribosomal RNA
Source: RNAcentral
UAGUGAGUUUGAUCCUGGCUCAGGAUGAACGCUAGCGGCAGGCCUAAUACAUGCAAGUCGAACGGUGAGCAGCAAUGCUCAUAGUGGCGCACGGGUGCGUAACGCGUAGGCAAUCUGCCUAUCUCUGGGGGAUAGCCCGCCGAAAGGGGGAUUAAUACCGCAUGAGACCAUGGCCCGGCAUCGGGUAGUGGUUAAAGAAUUUCGGAGAUAGAUGAGCCUGCGUGCCAUUAGCUGGUUGGUGAGGUAACGGCUCACCAAGGCGACGAUGGCUAGGGGAGCUGAGAGGCCGAUCCCCGACACUGGCACUGAGAUACGGGGCCAGACUCCGUACGGGAGGCAGCGAGUUGGGGGAACUUUUCC